This is a non-coding RNA of Myotis davidii, 75 nucleotides long. The record is from Rfam. NCBI's taxonomy places the organism in Eukaryota, Metazoa, Chordata, Mammalia, Chiroptera, Vespertilionidae.
AGCAGUUUUCGGGUGAUGCACCCUGGAAUCGGGCUCCCUCCUCUCUGGUUCUGGGUGCAUCAUCCUAGAACCACA